GGUGGGAUAUAGCUCAGUGGUAGAGUACAUGCUUAACAUGCAUGAGGUCCUGGGUUCAAUCCCCAGUACCUCCA
This 74-nucleotide transfer RNA is filed under the name Vicugna pacos (alpaca). RNAcentral's name for it is "tRNA-Val (AAC) (tRNA-Val-AAC-32-1)". It matches the Rfam family "tRNA". Rfam says of the family: Transfer RNA (tRNA) molecules are approximately 80 nucleotides in length. Their secondary structure includes four short double-helical elements and three loops (D, anti-codon, and T loops). Lineage: Eukaryota; Metazoa; Chordata; Mammalia; Artiodactyla; Camelidae. The record is from RNAcentral.